This 251-nucleotide ribosomal RNA is filed under the name uncultured microorganism. RNAcentral describes it as "partial small subunit ribosomal RNA". It matches the Rfam family "Bacterial small subunit ribosomal RNA", at positions 526 to 776 of the family's 1533-position model. The record is from RNAcentral.
UACGGGGGGCAAGCGUUGUUCGGAAUUACUGGGCGUAAAGGGUUUGUAGGUGACUCGCUAAGCCACACGUGAAAUCCCUCAGCUUAACCGGGGAACUGCGUGUGGGACUGGCGAGCUUGAGGACAGGAGAGGAACGCGGAAUUCCAGGUGUAGCGGUGAAAUGCGUAGAUAUCUGGAGGAACACCGGUGGCGAAGGCGGCGUUCUGGACUGUUUCUGACACUGUAAAACGAAAGCCAGGGGAGCAAACGGG